UCCUAGCCCUGAUGGGAACGGCAUCCUUUUGUGGCGGGGUUCGCCACAAAAGAUAUAGUGGACAGCAGGACUGGCU
RNAcentral lists this small RNA (76 nucleotides) under Flavobacterium chilense. Its description in RNAcentral is "Flavo-1 RNA". It matches the Rfam family "Flavo-1 RNA". Lineage: Bacteria; Pseudomonadati; Bacteroidota; Flavobacteriia; Flavobacteriales; Flavobacteriaceae. The record is from RNAcentral.